RNAcentral lists this ribosomal RNA (419 nucleotides) under Cryptosporidium sp. Sltl05c. RNAcentral describes it as "bacterial SSU rRNA". It matches the Rfam family "Eukaryotic small subunit ribosomal RNA", at positions 667 to 1085 of the family's 1831-position model. Lineage: Eukaryota; Apicomplexa; Conoidasida; Eucoccidiorida; Cryptosporidiidae. The record is from RNAcentral.
AGGUCUCGUCAUAUAUUAUUUAUUGAUUUUAUAAAUAAUUAACAUAUAAUUCAUAUUACUAGAAAUAAUUUUAGUAUAUGAAAUUUUACUUUGAGAAAAUUAGAGUGCUUAAAGCAGGCAUAAUAUGCCUUGAAUACUCCAGCAUGGAAUAAUAUGAAAGAUUUUUAUCUUUCUUAUUGGUUCUAAGAUAAAAAUAAUGAUUAAUAGGGACAGUUGGGGGCAUUUGUAUUUAACAGUCAGAGGUGAAAUUCUUAGAUUUGUUAAAGACAAACUAAUGCGAAAGCAUUUGCCAAGGAUGUUUUCAUUAAUCAAGAACGAAAGUUAGGGGAUCGAAGACGAUCAGAUACCGUCGUAGUCUUAACCAUAAACUAUGCCAACUAGAGAUUGGAGGUUGUUCCUUACUCCUUAGCACCUUAACA